Molecule: long non-coding RNA, 331 nt
Filed under: Elaeis guineensis (African oil palm)
Lineage: Eukaryota; Viridiplantae; Streptophyta; Magnoliopsida; Arecales; Arecaceae
Description: long non-coding RNA (EGUI_LNC069217)
Source: RNAcentral
GCUCGAUGUCGGCGUUGUUUGAAGGUUCCCGAUCGUCGCUAUGCUGAUUCACCCUUAGGGACUGGAGAUUUUCAACAAGGGUUUUCUUCUUCGUUGAGACGAGGUCCCUUGAGUCUUUGAUGUAGAUCGUUUUCACUUAUCGCUGGUGUAGUUCGUUGCUUUCUCUUUUUAUCUCUCCUUCUCUUCUAUGUUCGAGUGAGGGUCUUCCCUCUGCUCUUGACGGGGUAGUGAGAGUACAGAGGGGCCAUUGAGGAGGCUUUCCUCCUUGUCCGAUCUUGAUCGAUCGAGCCUUUGUUUGCAUCAGGAUGAGGUUCUCCUCUUGUUCCCAACA